GUGUUUACUUAGGCAGCACAUAUACUAAAAUGGAAAAGAUACAGAGAAGAUUAGCAUAGCCCCUGCACAAAGAUGACACCCAUGGAUUAAUGGUACUGCUUGCUUCA
Suncus etruscus (white-toothed pygmy shrew) is the source of this 107-nucleotide small nuclear RNA. Lineage: Eukaryota; Metazoa; Chordata; Mammalia; Eulipotyphla; Soricidae. The record is from RefSeq and is a predicted model, not a curated record.